Long non-coding RNA from Conger conger (European conger), 651 nucleotides. RefSeq lists it as uncharacterized. NCBI's taxonomy places the organism in Eukaryota, Metazoa, Chordata, Actinopteri, Anguilliformes, Congridae. The record is from RefSeq and is a predicted model, not a curated record. The transcript is spliced from 5 exons.
GGAAGCAACUUUCCCUAGGGCAGGGUACACAAUCAUCGGCCUAACUUUUUGACUUCAUGGUUUGAAUCUUGGUUUGGGGGAUUCAUACAAGUAAACCUGUCGUCGGUGUGAUUACGUGACUGAUUCGAAAAAUGGAUUUCAUCCUCCUACAUUCCCGAAAUGUCAUCAUGACAUUAGCUUUCGCUGUCGGCUCCACAGUUGUUACUAUUCGCCCAUACAACAGUACUACGGAAAGCAGUGCGAACUCUUACGCUGGGGUUCAGGGUUUUACGCCGUCCUCUUCGGCGCACUCGGAGUUGCGCUGCUCCUGUUCUGCGUUUGUGUCGUGGCUAUCGUGGUGCUUCGGAGAAGGAGACGGCGGAGACAUUCACUGGACGAGGACUACUUCAACUUUAUAAAUACAGGACUUGGCUCUGGAGGGCUACCAGGGAGAAGUGGACUAUAUGAGUUGGAUGACAGCGUCACCUUUGCAAAUGAAUUUCCCCCUGGAGUGUUUAGCCCCAGUCUGGAGUAUGUAGACACGUCCAUGAAUGUGACAAUCCGACGUCCAGAACUGAUCCUUUCCUGAUGGGUAAUACUUUUGAAAUAUGUUUAAAGUUUCAUUUUUAACAAUGUUAGCCACAGCGCAUCCUAAUCAAUUAUUAUAUGCCC